CAGCAGCCACGGGAAUACGUAGGGUGCGAGCGUUAAUCGGAAUUACUGGGCGUAAAGUGUGCGCAGGCGGUUGUGUAAGACAGGUGCGAAAUCCCCGGGCUUAACCUGGGAACUGCGCUUGUGACUGCACAGCUAGAGUAUGGCAGAGGGGGGUGGAAUUCCACGUGUAGCAGUGAAAUGCGUAGAGAUGUGGAGGAACACCGAUGGCGAAGGCAGCCCCCUGGGCCAAUACUGACGCUCAUGCACGAAAGCGUGGGGAGCAAACAGGAUUAGAUACCCCGGUAGUCCCUGUCUCUUAUAA
This 301-nucleotide ribosomal RNA is filed under the name uncultured bacterium. Its description in RNAcentral is "partial 16S ribosomal RNA". It matches the Rfam family "Bacterial small subunit ribosomal RNA", at positions 509 to 809 of the family's 1533-position model. The record is from RNAcentral.